GGGAUUCCUUAAGUAAUUGCGAAUGAACAAGGACAUGCUUAGCUUGACAAUUGGAGCCUCUGGCUUCGACUUGUAUUUUUGAAAUGUAUUACCAACAGAGGUGCAGGUGUCAGCCUAUUGAAAGAAAGCGUCAAUGAGGGUGAGAAUCCUGUUUGUCAUGUGCAAUCCUCUGUGCACGGUGUAUGUUUGCUGAGUCACACUCCUUGGCAUUGGAAUGCAAAGUGGGUGGUAAGUUUCAUGUAAAGGUAAAUAUAGGAUUGAGACUGAUAGCACACAAGUACCAUGAGGGAAAUAUGAAAAGGACUUUGAAAAGAGAAUUAAAUGAGUUUGUAUUUGCUGAACAGAAAAUAAACAGAUUUGAUGUUGCUUGGUGAGAUUGUGGUGCUUGCUUGACAAUAGGUUUUGAUUGUGGGUGCGAUGAUUCUUGCUUUGCUUGCCAGUUUCUAUUUGUACAUUUGAUUACCCUUGCACAUGAAUGGUAAUUUUCCUGCGGGGUUUGGAUUGCAUGUGUUUGUGAUGAUUUGUGUUUUGAUUCAUGUGUCUGGUGCUUUUGUAAUUGCUCAUUUCUUGAAGCUGGGCCUACCCUACUAGAGCUUACAAGCCCUGGCACACAAUUGCUGGCAAAAUGCUUCUGCUUGACCCGUCUUGAAACACGGACCAAGGAGUCUAACAGAUGUGCAAGCUUGAGGGUUGCAUACCUUUGUGCGCAAUGAAAGUGUUGGCUGGGAUAUUUGCACCAGCAGCCGACCAAUUAGCAGACAGAGGUUCGAGUUGGAGCAUAUCUAUUAGGACCCGAAAGAUGGUGAACUAUGCCUGAACAGAACGAAUUCAGAGGAAACUCUGAUGGAGGUUCGUAUCGAUACUGACGUGCAAAUCGUUCGUCAUAUUUGGGUAUAGGGGCGAAAGACUAAUCGAACCAUCUAGUAGCUGGUUCCCUCCGAAGUUUCCCUCAGGAUAGCUGGAGUUGCACAGUUUUAUCAGGUAAAGCGAAUGAUUAGAGGAAUUGGGGACACAUUUGUCCUUGACCUAUUCUCAAACUUUAAAUGGGUAAUCUGUAGUGGUUGCUUUAUGGAACUUCUGAAAUGAAUGGCAAUAUUGGGUGGGCCAUUUUUGGUAAGCAGAACUGGCGAUGAGGGAUGAACCUAAUGUGGGGUUAAGGUGCUUAAUUACUUGCUCAUUUGAUACCAGAAAGGGUGUUGGUUCAUUUUAACAGCAGGACGGUGGUCAUGGAAGUCGAAAUCCGCUAAGGAGUGUGUAACAACUCACCUGCCGAAUGGACUAGCCCCGAAAAUGGAUGGCGCUCAAGCGGGUGACUGAUACCCAACCACUGUUUCAAACAUAUCAGUGUGUAGGAGGGCAUGGUGGUUUGUGACACAGCCUUUGGGUAAA
RNAcentral lists this ribosomal RNA (1389 nucleotides) under Alexandrium affine. RNAcentral describes it as "partial large subunit ribosomal RNA". It matches the Rfam family "Eukaryotic large subunit ribosomal RNA", at positions 71 to 1420 of the family's 3401-position model. The record is from RNAcentral. Lineage: Eukaryota; Dinophyceae; Gonyaulacales; Pyrocystaceae.